RNAcentral lists this ribosomal RNA (495 nucleotides) under uncultured bacterium. Its description in RNAcentral is "partial 16S ribosomal RNA". It matches the Rfam family "Bacterial small subunit ribosomal RNA", at positions 30 to 507 of the family's 1533-position model. The record is from RNAcentral.
UGAACGCUGGCGGCGUGCCUAAUACAUGCACGUCGAGCGAACAGACGAGGAGCUUGCUCCUCUGACGUUAGCGGCGGACGGGUGAGUAACACGUGGAUAACCUACCUAUAAGAAUGGGAUAACUUCGGGAAACCGGAGCUAAUACCGGAUAAUAUAUUGAACCGCAUGGUUUAAUAGUGAAAGACGGUUUUGCUGUCACUUAUAGAGGGAUCCGCGCCGCAUUAGCUAGUUGGUAAGGUAACGGCUUACCAAGGCAACGAUGCGUAGCCGACCUGAGAGGGUGAUCGGCCACACUGGAACUGAGACACGGUCCAGACUCCUACGGGAGGCAGCAGUAGGGAAUCUUCCGCAAUGGGCGAAAGCUUGACGGAGCAACGCCGCGUGAGUGAUGAAGGUCUUCGGAUCGUAAAACUCUGUUAUUAGGGAAGAACAAAUGUGUAAGUAACUAUGCACGUCUUGACGGUACCUAAUCAGAAAGCCACGGCUAACUACGUG